AAAAUAAAAGAGCAAAGAAUAAGCUAUACCUUGAAGGCUUGAAGUUUGAACAAUUGCAAUGUAAGUUCUAUUAAUUUUUCUUGUUUAUCAUAGAUUUGUGAAAUUUAGGUUUUAAUUUUAAUUAGAAAAUCUGUAAUAAAUCAAGUGAAUCUGUGUUCGGAUUUUGUUACUAUUUUGCGUGAAUUAUGAAGUUUAGGUUCUCGUGAACUAUUUGAUAGAUUGAAUUUGAAAGAAAAUUCAUGGAAAAAGAAGAAUUACUUGCCCUAAGACAGGAAAAUUUUAUGACAAGGAGAAAAUUGGGUGGAAAUAUUUUCCACAAUAAGUUACUAAAUAUAACCUUAAAGUGAAUUUACUCAUCAACCUCAAACUUCUAUAGACUCAUCAUCACUAGAAAAAGAAUGCAAAAUUUUAUAGUUUAAUGUUUUCAGUACGUCCACCCAAAACUUUUAACUCUAGUAAGUAGAUAGUGAGUAGUGACUCUAUCAAUGUUAGUUUUUUUGCAAGUUAUUUUAGGUUUAAAAUUUACAAUUAUAACUGUCAAUGCUAUAUACACUUUACAGCGAAAGCAAAAUACAACCAAGAAUAGCAGUUAUAUCUCUACUUAUAUUGAUUUGAAACUAUAUACUGAUCUUUUUUUCUUUUCUUUUUUUUUUCUGUUUAUCUGCCAAUUUUCGCAUGACAAGUAGGCACAAAAGAUAAAUAACAUGGUUUUAUCAAUCAUACAUUUUAUUCAAGUGGUGUAUUGAUUUGAUGUGAUGAAAGCUAUAGAAGUAAAUUUCUCGGCAAUAGAUCUACGAUAUCUAGAUUUCUGCUACUUUAGUUAUAUCAUUAUAUGUACUAAAUCUGAGUUAUUCUCUUUGCAGUAUCAUUGAUGUAAUGUUAAGAAUGCAUGGUUUUAUUUCGUGAGCUAUUCUACAGGUCCACACACCAAUAAAUGUCGGGAAUAUUAACUUCUACCGACAUUUGCUAUUGUUUGUUGAUAUUAUGUUAUAACUUAUAAGUAUACACUAAUACACAGUAUGCAAUUACUAGUCUUUAGGUUUCUAUAUGUAGCACUCAAUUUUUAUUAGAAAUGACAUCUAUACUAUACUCACAUAGUAUGUGUAACACAGCAUACACCAUCUAUACUAUACAUUUCUUUUCUUUUCACAAGUUAGCAUCAUAUUAAUAACAGCAUGUACAUUAUAGUUGAGAUGUUGGUCAUACAAACUAAUUCUGUUUGUUAUACACUGCAAACAACCGUAUUACAAUGCUAGCUGCCCAUUGCACAUGGUAGUAGAAAAUAAGGAUAGCAAUGUGAUUUCUUACCAAGCUAUUUCUUUUGCUAGUUGCUGCUGUUGCAACCAUCAAUCCAUUAUUUCAAGCUAGAGGGAUCAUAACUUUGAAGCUCUGAAGUUUUCCUCGAUUAUGUAUUUCUCGCUUUAGGUACUCAUGGUCCACAAUCUAGCUUUCUUAUUAAGACAUUGUGCCAAAGAAUGUCGAUAUCCAUCCAUUUUAUACAAAAAUUGGAGGGAGUUGCUAAUCUGGUGUUUCCCUUAUUAGAUAAGUGGUUUAAAUAACUGUUAUGCCUGUUGUUACUUGUUAGGCUCAUUACUUUGUUGUUUCUUAGUAUUGAUUUUAUUAUUCAUUGCUAAUAAUGUACAUCCCAAUAGGUAAUAUAAAUAUAAUGUUCAAUGAUAGAAUACGACUCUUAGAAAUUUUGAAUGAUAAAUAAUACAUCCUUUAAAGCGCAAUGCUAUAAACAAAAAAGCUGAACAUCAUGAAUAAGCUCAAUGAAAAGACUUGCCACCCAACUGUAUCUUAAAUCAAAUCAUUAAGUCAUUAAUCCUGACAUAUCAUACGUUGAGUCGCUGAUAAACAAAAAAGUUCAUGAUCUCUUUUAGACCUCUUCGCAGUUAUCUCAUUUUGUAUGAAAGUAUAUUAUGCAGGCAAGACAAAACAUGAAAUCCAAGAAGAGAAGAAAAACUGCCAAUGGUAUGGUUGUGUAGGGCGCAUCUAUACCACUAACAAGCCUCAACAAGGUUGCGUGUCUUGUCCUUGGGCUUGCCCAGAUUAUAAAUGGUGGGGUGUAUCAUGCUAAAGAAGAAGGUAGAAGAAGGCUGGAGGUUGCAGCCAUUAGAGUUUAAAAGGAACAAAGAAUGUAGAGGAAGGAUGAAGGAAUGAAAGAGGACUGCAGGUUGCUGCAGUAUUAAGAAGAAGAAAAAAAAACAUAGAAAGAUUAACACGAAAAGAUACCUGUAUAAUGAGGAAAGACUCCUCUCCAUAUAUAUACGCACACUCUACAAAGAAAAGAAAUUGAAGAGAUGAAAGUCGUAGUAAGCCUUGUGUACAUGGAGACAUUCUUGUGAUGCAUUUGAUAUCAAGCGAUCCCUGCCCUCAUUUAGUGCCUUGGUUUAUGCACAUGAUACACCUAAGGACCUUGGGCUUCCCUGAGUGAAUGACCUUGCUUAGAUGUCAUAGAGAUGCACUGACCUCUGCUUGUUCAAUGUAAUGCCUCGGGCUAGAUCCUAUCUUUUUUUACUAUAUUGUUAAUAACUAAAAAUAAAUAACAAGGUUUCACUGAAUAACCUAAGAAAAAGGGAUGAUGAGGGACUGGUAUAACAUAACUGCCAUGGGAUUACAACCUGAACAAGAGUAAUCCAAUAAGAGACUAAGAGCUUCUGUGAAGUGAGGUAUUGUUUUUUUCCUGAUCUGAACAAAUUAUAAAAUUUGUAAUUUGUUAGGUGUGUCAUCUGUUAGAAUUUAUUACUGACAAACUUUCAGUUAUUUGAACAAAGCCAAGGCAUUUCCUUUGCUAAUAUGAAAGGAAACCACUACUUGCUGAACAACUGGCACAUCAAGUAGAUUUAUUGCUGGUUAGACACAAUUUUUAAUAUGUUACUGUGUUAAUAUUGAAAGAGUACUGGGCAGAGUCUUAGCUUGUUCGGACUGCAAGCAAGAGAAUCUUGCUUUAUCUAGAGAAAAUAGAUUCAGAAUGGCUGUAUAUAUGGGGUGGUUAUUCACAAGUUCAAAAUAUAGUCUUACUUUACAGGUGGUGGCUUCUGAAUCAAGAUGAAACAAUAAAACAUUUUCUGUAAUAGUGCAAUGACAAUAUAGUAAAGGACACCUCCUGAAUAUUUCCAACUAUAUUUGAACUAGGAAUUCUUGUUUUUAUGGUUUUAUGCAGUGUACUUGACCUUUUCUUGGUUGCAUUCCUUGGUAUGUCAGAGUAAAUGGAUAUUAUUUGGGUAAAGGAUGAAAUGGAUGCUUCAUUAUUAAUUAGUUGAUACUGAAGAAAGUUUAUGUAGUCCAUGACAAUAGUUUUCAACUUUUCAUCCUCCUAGAUUUUAUCUAGUGACUAGUGGUGCUUCACCUAAAUAAGAAAUAGAAGUUUAGAGAUACCCCCAAUGAUGUCGGUGUACUAUUUGUGUUACUUCCUUGUUUCACUUUUUCCGGCGUGUGUUUGUUUGUGUAUAAAUUAGUAUUACCCUCUAUUUCACAGCCAAACUGUUGUUUCUAAUAACCGAAGUGCCUAUUUUACCAUUGUUUCGCCCUUUCAAUUAUGGUAUGUUUAAUAUUGUAAAAGAAUAACAAGAAGUGAAAAUAAAUGAAGAAUAGGAGACCAUUUUGGACAAUUCAGCUGUGUAUGAUCAUGGACUAAGGAGUCAUAGUAUAUAACAAAAAACAGGGGGUUGGGUACGUCUAUAUUGCUUAAAGGUAUGUUCUAAUUGAUGUACUUACUAUUUGUUUAAGUACAUUUUUUUUGUUCUUAAAUUAUUAUGUAAAAUAUAUGAGUUGAUCUUGAACGUUUAUUUGGGAUUUAGGUUACCAUUCACAGAACAGAUUUGAGAAUAGUUUCAACUUACCUUGGAUUUCAUUUGUUUAUGUACGAAUCCAGUAUUGAUAUACGAGUAGGCAUGGAGUUGGUACUUGAAAACAGUGAUGGCGAAUGAUGAGUAGACCACCAUACUCAGUUGAAUCUUAAUACCUUGCAGAUGUAGGGCGUGAUUUGUCCUCCAGAUGUGGCGUAUAUGCAAGAUCAUGAACAUUCUGAAACCAUAGAAAAUUAGAUUGCAAAGAGUAUUCCAUAUUGGAAUGUUAUAUGUAUUUACGUCGGGGAAAAGAUAUUUACACUCUUCCUAAUAGGCCAUAACAACAGUAGAUUCAGAGAAAAUAAAUAAAUAAACGAAAUGGCUUUAAAGCUUCCCUGUUAACUCAAGGAAGUUUUCUUGCAUCACUGUUCUCAAACAAAGAACACAGCCCUAAUAGUUUGUCACUAGACUUGGCAAAAUAAUUGCAUUCAAAUGAGAGUAAGAAUUUUGAGUAGCUCCCAUGGACAUGGAACAGUCUCUCCAGGAUUGUUUUGGUGUGAGUGAUACCUUCCUGUUUGAGCAUAGGUGCGAGGUGCUUCUUUUGGACUUGUGCAUAGCGCAACUGCAGUUGCGGUGGUAAGGCCUCCUUUCUAUCUCUGUGUCAGACAUGGAUAUGCAUCCUUCAUAGACACAGUGAAGCAAUACCCCCACAACUUCAGUGUUCAUUCACUCAGGCACUCACUUACUUUAAUUUGUGUAUGUGUUUUUGUGUGUGUGUGUGUGUGUGUGUGUGCAGGCAGUUAGUGCAAUUGACGCUUUCUUGAAAAUUGUUAGAGUUUAUAUAGAAGGGUGGAAGUGAAGGUACGGACAAGUUUUGAUGUCUUCAAGGAAAAUAUCACCAUGGAGUACUCCGCUAUGGAAUCAGAGAAGAGAGUUGUCUUGAUUCGGUGAUUAAUGACUUUCCAUGGGCGUAAAAAUAAAGAGAGGUGUUGAGAUGGAAAGUAAAAAGUAAGAAAGUUUAAAAUUGCACUUAGGAAUAAAAGCCUAGAGAAAGUGUUGGAAUCAUACUUCAGAAAAAACGAAAAGAUUAUUCUAUGGGGUUCUUGUACAAAGUUAUAAUAACUAUGUUGGCGUAUGAAUCCACGUCGCGUUAUCUUUGACUGAAACUUUAUUCUUGGUGAUAUUCCAUCGAAGUGGACCUAUUGUUAUUCCAUCAUAGAUGUUAGUGUUUAAACUUUAAAUUUGAGGGCGGGAAGUCUCUUGGUGACCAAUUCGAUGUUUCCAAGGAAUAUGGAAAUGUGGAGAAACUUGGAACAAGAGAAGUGUAAUUUCUUGACUAUCAAGUACUUUUCUCUCUCCAUAAAAUAAAACAAAAGAAACACAUGUUUGAAGAUUAAAAAACAGAAUUUAGAUGUGUGAAUGCAACGUAGGAUGAAAAUUUGAAGAGAAAGAAGGAAAUUGGUAUCCUAAUUGAGAAAUUUGGAAAAGGUUGGUUAUUUCUAGAAAUCUGUGUUAUGGGUUGAAUCACUAGGAUAUCAUCUUAUUCCAAAUUUUAUGAAUAUCCCGCGUCAUAAGGUUAUAUUGGCAUCGAGCCCACCACUCAGUUCUUGGUGUCUCAUGAUCACUGUAUUGUAGAUAAGUGGGGGAGAGAGAAAGAAAUUGGUUUGGCGAUACAGUAAUUGGUGUUUUGUAAUCACUUCUGCAUUCAAUAAGAUAGAUAAGAAUUCACAAUCACUGAUUAUCAGAUAGAGAGAUCUUCCUUUAAAAACCGAGUUAUGUUUGAGGUGUGCUGAAAUUUAUUGCAUUAACAUUAUACUUUUGAGACUUUAUGAUAUAGCAAUGCAACUUGUAAAAAUUUGGUUACAGCCCCGAGUAAUGAAUUUUACUAGCGUAGUCAGUCAGUAUCAUAUAUUAUAUUAUUAGAAGAAGAACACUACUAGUGUCAUAUACUCAUUAUAUAAUCAAGCUUCAUAUUAGAAUUUGGUUCUUACCAUUAAGGAGCAGUGAAGAAGAUUACAUAUAUGCAUGCUGAUAUUUCAAAAGGUGAUAUCGCUUUCUGAUGUUUCAGACUCUCUUCUUUUUGAGAUAAUCAGUCUAUUAAAAAUGCAUUGUGCGGGUAUUCAGGGUCUUGUAAUGAUGCAAGUUCCUUACAACACUAUCAUCUUAGACUUUCGACACACUCUAUAGAAACUUGAUAUUUUUAAUUAGUAUUUUAAUUAGUUAGGUAAGAUGCUGGUGCUUUAUUUUUCAGUUAUUUUUAUUAUAUUUAAUACCCAGAUCGACAGUGUUAUUGUAGUCUGAACUGAGCGAAUUAGACAAGUUUUUUUUAUUGGCAGUUGUAUCGUGAAAAUAAUUGCCAUGGGGUUGUUAGGCUUAGAUUUAGUAGAUUCUUUCGAUAUGUAUUAUAUAGCAUAUGAAGCUAUAAAAUACUUAAAAAUAGAUACUUAAUGAAAGGACUCUUGAAUAAUUUAAUAUUUGCGCAAGAUUGUUUGGUUGAAAUGUAUGAAGUAGUUUCUUUGAGGCUGACAGUUAUUUCUAAUUGCAGCCCUGAAAACCCAACUAAAUCUGGAAAACUUCUCCAGCUGCACCUUAUUACAGGUUUGAAUUCUUUGCAUUGAAAAUAUGAUUACUCUCUGCUGUGUAAAAUUAUAUCCGCAUAACUCUGCCGAUUAGUGAGAUUUACUAUUGUACCAAGUAGGACUGUUACAGAUUUAUCCUAUAAGCAAGUGUACAGAAGGAAUAUGAUAUAAUUGUGUUAAUUAUAUCGUGUAGCAGAUAGCUGUGUCUUGAAGGACCAAUUGUUUAAAACUCAGAUUGUUAACAUUCUGUUUUCUCCAUUUGCAGGAUGCUAAAUUUGCCAAAUUGCCAAUCUCACAUGAGGUGGUUCUGACACUAGCGAACCAAUUUCUCAGGUGAGACUAUGGUCUUUACUCUUAUGAAAUUUCAAGGUGUGGUAGAUUAGUAUUACCAUCACCAUCACUUUCUUCCUUUUUUAACCAAACCCAUUUAAUUUCCUUAUAUGGUUUUGAUAAGACCAUUUCAUGGUUAUGCUUUCAACCAUCGUGAUCUCUGGCACCAUAUUUACAAUGUGACCAUUAGGAAAGUACUGUUACAAUAUCCAUAUUUAAGAGUAACAGUUUAAAUAGCAUUCCUCAGUGUUGGGUUAAUUUUCUGCAAAGUAUCUUCUCAGCAAUCAAACACACCAAUCUUUACAGACGAAAUUGAAAGCUGAAAAUAUAGACCGCACAAGCAAAAUCAUAUAUAGGUGACUCAGAAUUAAGCCUUACCCUAAGUUGCUAUAUUCUUAUUCACAUAUGGCUAGUUUAAAAGUGUGUGAAAGAGGUGAAGAAUUGUUAAAAAGCGGUUAUGAUGCUAGAUUGUAGAAUCUCAAAUGGUUAUUAAGCAGACUUUAGUUGUUUUUAUUGGUUUUUAAGCGAAUUCUGUCAAGCAGUGGUGUUUAGAGAUGAACGCGCUCGUGAGGAGGGAAGGUUAAAAAGUUUCUAUUGGCUUUACAAAUAAAAAGGAAGCUUGAAAAUUUCCAUUCUGGGCUGAAAUAUUCAAUUUCUUGUUAAGGAUCUGCAAAUAAGAACCAAAUAGAUGGAAGAGGAGGAAGAGGAAGAGUAAGGAUGCCACAAAGUAUUCUACUUUGCAACAAGAAAAGAUUUGGCAGCAAUUACCUACCUCUAUUUUUGUGUAUCCCAUCUCCUAGGAACAUAAGGAUUGCCUCCUCUGAAGAUUGCCAAGUUCAGCUCUAACAUAUCUUCAUGUCUCGUGCCACCUUAUGAUCUUAGGUCUCUGCUGUUCAGCUCACAAUUUACAGACUAUCAUGAUGUGGGUGGAUUCUUCAGACCCAAGUAUAGAUUGUUAGGCCUCCAUCCAAGAUACUGGGGAUGUUGUCAAAGUUUCUUAGUAUACAAUCUCUCAACUAUGCUCCAAAGAAUCCACCUUAUAGAUGAAGCUACCAAUCUAAGAAUAAAACAAACCUAUCUCGCAAUGUAUGCAUGGAUUUUCUCAGCUUGACCAACAAUGUGAAGUAAGAGUCUUUGCAUACCUCGACAAUGAACAACAUUCUAGCCACGUUCUAAGAAACAACACAUAUCUACCUUGAAAUCUUCACCAUAAUAUAAAAUUGUUUUUCUUGUCGUUUAUUAUGUAGUCCUUUUUAGUGAUGUUGCUUUUGAGGAUUCUUUGGAUUGUGCCCAUGCUCUUUUUUAUAUGGGAUCUUCACAUGGUUCUGUAGUUUUUGUCAUAUAGCUUGCAUGAAUACGCAAUAUAUUUUUAUCUUGGGUAAAUGUACACAAUGUUUUUUACAGAUAUAUUAGAAAUGUAUAAUUCUAGGUGUUCAAUAUAGAGUUUAGUUUACAUGAGUAAAAACCAAUGUAUGUGUUUUUUAGAAGUGAAUGUGAAUCAUUCUAGGUGUGGUAAGUAGAGUUCACGUUGGAUAAAAACAAUGUGAGUGCACUCAAAUAUUGUAAGGAAAGUACUUGGUCUGAGUUUUGGCAAAGUAAAUCCAGACUGAAUAAUGAGUAUCAACUCCUCGAACUAUUACUCAUUUUAUAAUCCGUCCCGUUUUUGAAAUAGAUGUAACCGAUGUGAUAACUUCAGAUUGGAAAAGGGUAAGGAAUGAAGUUGAAGUGAACAAACCUACUAGCUUAGUAGAAUUACCUCUUGGUGGUGGGAAUGCACUAGAUAUGAACAUGUGAAUGUGUCUCAAUUCCUAUGUGUACCAUCAGUAUUGAUUGUGGGGGAGUAAUACAUGCCUUCAUCAUGUCUGUAUACCUGAAUGAUAAUAAAUGUAUAUAUACAACAAUAAUAUUUUAAAGAAGAAUAAUAAGCUGUAAUGGCGAGUCAAAAAUCUAUUGAGUUUCAUGUUGUAAAGAAAGGGUGAAUAUAUCCUCUAGACCAUUUGAUCCUAAAAAAGCAUCCAGUAUAUGGUGUAGUGGAAGAAAUCUCUAUGUACAAUUAACUUCCAUCCAUCCCAUCUUAUCCUAUAAACUUUUACAUGACUUACUUUCAGCCAUACAAAACGAACCCAUAUAUGUUGUGUCUACCCUAGUUGAUGCAACUGAAGGUGAAGAAGAUACAUUCUUAGCGGAGUAAUGAUUGCCAUCCAUUGACAAGGAACAUUCCUUCCACAACUGUUUGAUUGGGACAGAUAUCAUUCUUCUUUGAGGACAUAGGUUGGAGCAAUUUUUAUUGGAUCUGUGUAAGGCACAAUUGCAGUUUUUGUGAUAUGGUCUUCGUUCGAUCUCCAUAUCAGACAUUGAUAUGCUUCCAUUAUACACACAUUGAAGUAGUGCUCCUGCAACUUUACUCUCCAUUUUCUAUUUCACUCACUUGCACCGUAACUGUAAUGUGAUUGUUUGUGUAAGAAGUGAGAAUAGUCUGUAGUUGUGUAUGGAUGUAUUGAUGUUUCUUCAGAGUCGUUGGUGCUUAAAUAGGAAGGCGGGAAUGUUCUUGGUGAAAAAAUUGAUGUUCGCAAGGAAUAUGUUAACGUAAAGUACUAAGCAUAGAAUAAAAGAGGUCUGCUGUCUUGACUAUUCUUUACUUUUGGCCUUCGAUGAAUUAAAAUUAAAGAAAGGUUUAGUGAAUAGAAAACAAAAUGAUAAAUCUGCAAAUGCAACAUAGGAAUAAAAGUUGUUGAGAGAGAAAGAAAUUGGAAUCUAACUUGGGUAAUGAGGGGUGAGUUACUUCUAAAAAAAAAUAUGUGUGAAUUGAUGAUCACUAAACUAUCCUCCUAUUCAACGUUUUAUAAAUUAUCUGUAUUGUAAAUUUGUAUUGUUAUGUUGACUUCACCACUCAGUACUUGUUUAUUUGGGGUUACCUAGGCGUGCUUUGAAUUUAAAUCAUGGAUACGUAUAUUGGCACAUUGUUAUGAUACAUUUUUAUAUUUAAGUACUUUUCUUACAUGGAUGAUUCAGUGGCAGCCUUUUGCUUUGAAAAUAAAAAAAAUGUUUACUGUGGAUUGAAUGUGAUUAUUUCCUAUCAUCAAAUUUACUGAAGUGUAAAGGUAGAAAAUCUGUUUAGUAAGACAUCAUUAUUCUGCGGUAAGCCCAUCCACAUUUAUGGAGAGGACUUCCACAUGUGGUACCUGGAAUUCUGGAAGCAAUCAACUUUUCACUUUUAAAGGUUACAGAUAGUUGUUUGGAGAGUCCAGUGAUGGUUGAGUUUGUAGUUGCUACAAACAAAUAAAAUUAAUGAAAAUAAAACGUUGCCCUAAAAAGUAGUUUGUUGGUGGGAGGCAGCAAAAAAUAAAAUUGCUAGCAUAGGGAGCAGUUGUGUCUACCCACUAAGGUGAUACUAUUGAGGAGUAGUGAAAGAAGAAUAUUAUAAGAAGCCUGCUGGUUAUAAUGUGUAAUAUGUUGCAGCUAUUUUAAUAAUUAGUCGUUUCAAUUAUGCGUUGUUCACCAUUUUAAUGAUCUUAAUUCUGCUAGUUCCUACAACCUUUUCGGCUUAGAAUAUGGAGGAUUGUAAUUCCCCAGGCACCAGUGAUUAAAUUCCUGUGUCAUUGGCUGUUCACUAUCAUAUUUGGGAUGAUAACAUAACCAAAGUGGUUCUUUCAUGAUACCUAUCCUGCCGUUAUAUACUUAUAUCAAUCUUAAAUUUGAUUCUAGGAUCCCAUGUGGAAAUUAUACACUUAUGAAAUCUAAUGAUCUUUCUCAUUGGGAAACAAUGAAACAUGAAGCUGGUCUUUUGCAAUAUUUAUUAGAGCAUCUGCAAGUAAUAAUUUAUUAAGAGCUCUAGAGUACUUUUGUUGAACUCUACCAUAGUACUAAUUUUCAUAUGGGACUCAAUUCGCCACUUUUUCAUGAAAGGCGAUUUGUUACUUUUAGGGAAAACAUUUUUUCAUAGAUUUCACAUCUUCCAGUGGGUGGUGGAUGAUGCCGGAAUGGUGUUUGGGGUUCAGAUCGUGGAUCUUAAUGUUCGGAUUAGCGAAUCUGGGUUCCCAAAGUAUACUAUUUAAAGUAGUAAGUGAUCCGACUACAAACAGCAAAUUCUGUGGGUUUAAAGUGGCAGUCAAAGAAACAAGGUGUUCCAUGAGGAGAAAUUAUGGCUUUUCUCAUCAGGCCAAAAUGUAAUUAUUUUGAUUCAUUCAUGCAAAUCAAGUUAAGGUCAUCCUCCAGUUCACUUGAAUUUGUAGAAUGCAAUGUCUCAAGAAAUUGAAUAAGAAAGAAAAAUUCCCGUAACAAUUAAAGCUUCCAAGAAAACCUUGAAGGACUGUCCGGAUCAUAAAAUAAUAGAUGAAAGAGUAUUUUGGGAUGCCAAAAUGUUUCAUUUUCAAAGCUUUUAUAAGAAUGACAACUUUCUACCUACCUUUUUUGUGUGUUUUCCAUUCAAGGGUUUCUCCUGGGAAGAAUGCUAAUUCAGCUCUGUGACAUAUGUUUGCAGCCUCUGGUCGUUCGCAUUCAGCAUGUAUCCAUUGAUAGGUAAAGACGAGUCUUCAUCUCCCAAUGCCUUUGGUACCUUAUUGGAUGAACUACCUGUUGCCUGUGCUCGAGUGGCUAUGCCUUGUUAAACAGGUAUCCAUCAAGAAGCUUCUCAGCGUGAUCAUCAAUGUUGAAGAACAGUCGAUCCGUUUCAUGACUGAAGGUAUGGCAUUCAAUUACUACAUGCUAAAAAUCUUGACCAUAAUAAAUGUCCAUUUUCUUGUCUUUUAUCAUCUUAUGUCUUUAUGGUCCUGUUAUGAGAUUUUUCUUGAUUCUUACCUUGAUUUUUUGUAUAAAAUCCAUCCUCUUUUCUAUUCAUUUAUGUCUUAGCUACAGAACUAGCAUAUUCUUUCCACUAAUGUAUAUGUAAUGCAUUAUUAUUAAUAUUAUUUUUAAUUUCUUACGUUGUGUUGGUACAAGACUGUUUGUUAGAACAAGUCCUCUCAUUUGUAUUCUAGUGAGUUUCAUUUGACAAGAACAAUGCUAGACUCAGUCUGAGUUUAGCCAAACACUCAAAUAUAGUAGUUUCUGAACUCAUGAAUCGCUCAAGUGAGCUGAAACAGAGUAGGACUCACCUUAGAUUUUUGGUCCUUUUCUUGCAACGGGCCCAACUAAUAUGGUAAUGCAGCUUGGAAGAGGGUAGGGUAUGUAGUAUGAAAGGUAACCAGACCUACCUGUUCAACAUUUAGACUGAGUAAUCUAAUGGCUUAGGAAGUCUGGAGUAUUGAUUUGUGUCUAACUUCCAAUAUGUGUACCAACAGGAUAGCUUGUUGUGGAGGAUGAUUACUCUUCAUCAUGUCUGUUUGUUUACCUGUGUGAACAUAUAUACAUAGAUUACAACCAAAAGCAAAGAAGUAGACUGUAAGAGUGUGACAACUGUAUUAAAUUUUAUGGAGAAAUAAUGGGUACGUUCAUCCUCUAGUCCAUUGAAAUCUAGAGAAGCACCCAGUAAAUAUGGAAGAAUCAUUCUCUAAAUACAACAACUUCCACCCAUUCCUGCUAAAACUGUGAACUCUUCGUUGAAUCAUUCUCAAUUCUACAACAGAAACUCAAUGAUGUUGUUUCUAUCUUUCUCAAUGUACUGAGGAUGAAAGGGAAGACUGAGAGAGUAAUGAGUGCCUUCAUUUCAGAAGGAACAUUUCCUCCACAGCUGUUUGGUUGGGACUGACAUCUUUCUUCUUUGAGGACAUAGGUUGGAGCAUCCUUGUUGGACUAGUUCUUGUGGAAUGGUCUUGUUUCUAUUUCCAUAUCAAACAUUGAUAUGUUUCCAUUGUAAAUGCAUGGAAGUAAUGUUCGUGCAACUCCGGUCUCCAUUCUCUCUUUCACUCAUUUGAUAACUAACCGUAAUGUGAUUGUUACAUUAGAGUGAGAGAGUACGGGUUGUGUGUAUCUGAAGUGGGAGAGUAUGGGGGAUGUAUCCCAGCUAAACCGAUGAACACUAUCUUGACUCACUUUCAACAAUACAACCCAAACCCAGUUGUGUCGGCUCUAUCCAUUUUAAUGCAGACACAGCUGAUUCAGAAGUCUGAGAGGAGUAAUGACUCCCUUUUAUUGACAAAGAACAUUCCUUCCACAACUGUUUGGUUGGAACAGAUAUCUUUCGUCUAUGAGGACAUAUGUUGGAGCUAUUCUUGGCGGUUCUGUGAAAGGCACAACUGCAGUUCUUGUGGUACGGUCUUCGUUCUAUUUCAGUAUCGAAUACUGAUAUGCUUCCAUUAUAGACACAUUGAAGUAGGGCUCCAGCAACUCCAGUCUCCAUUUCUUAGUCACUGCAAUGUGGUUGUGUAUUCUACUGAGUGAGUGAAAGUGUGUGUCUGUAGAUUAGUUUGUGUGGGUAACUGAUAUUCCUUCGAAGCUGUGAAGUGUUUAAAUAGGAAGGCGCGAAAGCUCUGGUGACAGAAUUGAUAUCACCAAGGAAUUUGUGACCGUUGAGUACUAAGCUCUGCAGUUAGAGAAGUCUCUUGUCUCAACUAUCGAGUUCUUUUGGCGUUUUUAUGAAUUUAAUUGUGGUUUAGUCCCAUUACUUCCAACAGUAACCUAAAGCAAGAUGUUGAAAUGCAACUUAGGAAUAAGUGCAGGAGCGAGGAAGAAAUUGGAACCUUACUUGGGAAAUAUGGAAGGAGUGUGUUACUAGAAAAGUUCAUUUUAGGGUCUGAUGAUCACGAAGUUUGCCUCUUAAUCAACGUUUUCUGAUUAUUUUAUAACUCUAAUAGUAUAUUAGUAUUGACCCGUCACUUUGUACUUGCUGUACUAUGUGGGAAUCUAUCUGAUGCACCACAGUAUUACCUAAAGUGAUCCUUGACUACGUAAGUGUAAUUGUUGCUUAUGUCACUUGAUUGUCAUUGAUGGAUAAGGAUGUGCAAUCAUAAAGAGUAAUUUUAUAGCAUAGUACAUUCUUAUCAUAUACUACAAAAUUUGUAGCUGGAAGAACACCAUCAUUGUCAUAAAUGUAGUCAAAACAUCUCUAAAUGCUGGCCAUUGAUCUGAUAAACUUUCUGAAAGAUCUAUGUUCUGGUUCUUUGUUUAUAUGAUGCUUGGCGAUUUUAGAAAGUGUUACUAUUUCAAUAUGUUGCAGCCAUUGUCAUACUAAAUCAUUUAACAUUGUAUACAUCAAUUCAUGAUGUUGUAGUCGUACUAGUUCUGUACAGGCAUGAAAGGAGUCUUUGAUAUCCCAGUCCUUUUGAUAUUUUUUAAUACCUCAAAAUUAUAAAUGUUUUAUACACUGAGAUAAAUGAUUGUUGUUGACAGUUAUAGAUGUUAAAUGGCCGUUGUAACUCUUUUCAAAUGUAUAAUAUAAUAAGCGAAUAUUAUAUUCUCUUUUCAAAUGUAUAAUAUAAUAAGUCGAACAUUAUAUUGAAUUUAAUAGUUGAUGUGUGGCCUUCGGAAUAGUUGAAUAUUCAUAAUAGUAUGUUUUAUGCUGAAUUGUUUAAUGAGUAUAAUUCUAGAUAUGAUAAAAAAAAACUUUAACACAAAUUCUGUUUAGUUAUUGCAGAUUGCAGCCAGAAAAUUCAUCAAAACCGGGAACAACCCUGUUGAUGUACGGUAGCACAAAGAUAUAUUUUUUUUAUGCUCUAGCAAUUAUGCCGAAACACCUCUGCAUAGUGAAAAUAGAUAUUCAGUUAAGCUACUGCAAAAAAUGCAGUGAAGUAUUAAUGGAGUUGAACUGUGGAUGUUUAAACCAUGCUGUUUACUGUUCUCUCCAUUUGCUGUCUAGGCUACCAAAGUAGAAUUGCGGGAUAUGCCGAGUUGUCUUAAUCUGUUGUCAGAAAUGGGGAGAUCUUUUACUUUAAAGCUGCACCAAUGUAACGUGAGAACAUACUGUUUACUCUAGUCCAUUCGAUGACUCAAGGUGAGGCCAGCUUUAUAUUUCUCCCACCUGUGAUUACCUGAACAACUUACAUACUAGUUGCACUUUGAACUGCUCUAGGCCUCCGGAACCAUUUUCAUACCAGUGAUCUUUAAAAUCAUUUUUGGGAUAAAAACCAGACUUGUGAUUCUUAAGUUUACACAACUUUUGUGGAAAAUAUAUUUUCAGCAACAAAAACAUACGAUUGCAUAAGAAGAAAAAAGAAAGAAUCAUAAACAGCACAUACUUGUUCCUGAAUACUUUGUUUCGCUCCUAAAGUUGGAUGCACUAAUUUCCAUGCACAUGGGAAUAGAGUGUGAAUUUAGUUCAAAGGCGUUAACAUGUAACUAUGUUCUUUAUCAAAUAGGAGUAAAUCCACCAGCUGCAGUUAUACUGGUCAAGAGUUGUUUUGAAAACAAAAACCCUUUUGUUGAAUUUUCACAUCUUCAAUAGGUGAUUGAUGAUACUUGGAAUGGUCACCUUGUUUGAGGUGGCUCCUUGGUGAAAGUGAUAGUGGGGUAGGUGUUCAAAAGGGGGAGGAGGGCUGUCCCAAAGUGGUCGGAAGAAAUAAGUAAUCUUCUGGGCAUUAUGGAAAGUUCCAGCCACACACUGAUGCACAUACCAAAAAGAAUAAGAUAAAACAAAUGAUUCUUAGAUGGAACUUGUCUAGCCGUAGAGCUUGGAGCCAUGUCUAAGAAACUUUGGUAGAUCCUGAGUGCGAAUCACAAACAAUAAGCUUUAACUGACAUAUCUGCUAACUCCACUCUCUCUGCACAAAUUUCUCAAAGGGUUAAGGAGACUAGGAUAGAGGUGCACAAAUCAUGGUUUAUGGAGUUUAACCGCCAGGCAAACAAUUAAAGGGUUAGGUUUCUCGUCAGGCCAAAGUGUAGAAGCAGUGUUUUGUGGAGUCUAACCGACAAGAAAAAUUGAAGGUGUGAGCUUUCUCAAUAGGCUAAAGUGUAAUUCUUUUAAUAUCUUGCAGUUCACUUGAACUGUACUCCGCAGUCUCAAGAAAAUUACCAAUGAAAAUACCUUUGUAGAUUGAGUGUUCUGAAGAAGUUUUCUAUGGACUAUGCAGAUCAUAAAUCCUUGGAAGAAGAAUUUGGGAUUGCAUUUCCACUUUUUUUGCAGCUUGUGCAGUGCUAUAAAAAAAAUAAAAAAAAACCUUAUACUUACCUCAUGUUCCUGCUUUCAUCCAAUGCACAAAAGAUACCACCUCUGAAAACUUCCAAGUACAGCCCUCUGACCUGUACUCUGUUGCUCAUGAUCCACCAACCUUAAGAUGUUGGCGGUUCUUGAAAUUCAUCAUUAAGAUAUAUGGAUGCCCUCGGAGUUUGAAAGCAUACAACCUUACCUCAUGGAGUAAAUUCGUACAGGCUGCAACUCAUAUAUGAUUUACUACCCCUUUUUAGACAGGUAUCCAUGAAGAAUUUUUCAGCUUGAUCAACAAUGUGAAAGAACAGUGUUUGUAUUUCUUGAAACUUGCAAACCAUUUAACUACUAAAAUGUAUGACAUUCUAGCCAACAUUGCUUAUUAGAUGUUCAGAAGCAAUGAAAUCUACCUUGAAAUCUUCGUCAUAAAAAUAAGUACUUCCCUUUGUCUUUAUCUGAUGCAUUUUCUUGAUUCUCCCUUCGCUUCUUUGAUAUCAAUUAUUUUGCUCAUUAUAUACAAUUUUGUCUUUAAUUGGCCAUCACAAAUAGUAACAUAUAAUUUUUUACUUGUAUAUAUGUGAAGCAUUUUUUAUAAUGUUAUUUUUUUACUUCUUUUGGAACAGAGCUUGUUAAUACUCAAAACAAUGUCCUGUCACUUGUAUUUUAUUGAGUUUCCAUUUGACAAGAACAAUGCUAGACUCAGUCUGAGUUUGACCAAAUUUUCUGUGUUGAAACUCAGGCUGAGUAACUACUCCCAACUCAUGAAGAACACCAGGGAGAUGAAACUGAGCUGGGCUUACCUUAAUUUCUGAUCUUUUUCUCUGCCCAAAAUUAUAUGGUAAUGCAGCUUUAAAGAGUGUAAGGAAUGGAGUAUCUAAGAAAUUUCAAGGUAACCUUACCUACUUGUUCAACUGAAUCAUCUAUUGGAUUUGGGGAUAUUCGAACUUUGGUUUUUGUAUCCCUUCCUACAUGUGUACCAUCAGCGUGGCUAAUUGCGGACAACAUUUAUUUCUUCGUCAUGUCUGUAUACCUGUAUAUAUGAACAUGAGUGCAUAUAUGAAAAAAUAAAAUAAAAUAAGUAGACUGUAUGAGUAUGUCAACAUUGUAUUUAAUUUACAUGGGGAAAAAGGGUACACUCAUCCUCUAGUCCAUUUUGGAAUCUAGAGAAGCACCCUGUAAGCUGUACGGAGGAAGAAAUCAUUUAACUACAACAACCUCCAACUAACCCUGCUACCUAAAUUCUAAACUCUUUCUUGAUUCAUUCUCAACCCAAUGACACAAACUAAAAUGUGUUGUUUCUAUCUUUCUUGGUAUUGCAGAUGAAGAACACUGAGAGGAGUACUGAAUGCCUUCAUUUGACAAGGAGCAGUCCUUCCACAGCUGUUUGGUUGGCACUGAUAUCUUUCUUCUGUGAGGACAUUGGUUGGAGCUUUUCUUUUUGGACUUGUGAAGAGCACAAUUGCAGUUCUUGUGGUAUGGUCUUCUGUCUAUCUCUAUAUCGAACAUUGAUAUGCUUCCAUUGUAGACACAUUGAAGUAGUGCUCCUGCAACUCCAGUCUCCAUUAUCUCUUUCACUCACUCGCACACGUACUGCAAUGCGGUUGUGUGUGUUAGCGAAGGAGUGAAAGAGUUGGUGAAUGUUUUUAUGUAGAUAUUUUUCAUUCGAAGUUGUGAGUGUUUAAGUAGGGACGCGGGAAUGCUCUUGCACUUGCUUCUUGGUGACAAAAUUGAUGUCUUCAAGAAAUGUGUAACCCUGGAGUGGUAAGCUAUGAAAUCAUAGAAUCGAUUUUGUCUAGAGUGCUAGUACUUUUAGUUUUCUUAAACUUAAACUAAAGAGUGAAAGGUGUAGGGAGAAGAAAAUAAAGUAAUGGACUUUGGAGUGUAGCUUAGGAAUAAAUGUGGAGGAGAGAGAAAGAAGUUAAGAUCCGACUUUGUGAAGUUUGAAAAUAAAAUGGUGUUCAUCUGUGAAUUUCAUUGUGGGAUGAAGAUCACUAAGUUUGCCUCUUAAUCCACGUUUUCUUUUCUCUAUUUUGUCUGAUUUGAUGUUUCAUUUGGAAGUGGCCCAUCACUUAGUGGUUAAUUUACUGUGUAUAAUCAUGGAUUAUUCAUUGUAAUCUCAACCUAAUGAGAUGAAUUCAUCACAUCAACAAGAUAAUCUGACUUUUUAGUCGAUUCAUUUUGUCUUAACUGCCAGAUCUUUGAAUUCCAUUCAUUUAGGUGAAAUGUAGUUUCUUGUGCAGGGGUGCAGAUAUGUUUUGCAAAUUGUCUGAAGCACUUCACCUUGGACUAGAGUAAGACUUGAACGCAAUUAACUGCUAAUUAAUUCUUUUAAUAUUUAUUGGUAUCUUUUGCAUGAAAAAUUGAGUGCUGGUUGAGGUUUUAGUUAAAUUUGUUAGACAGGUGUAGACCUUAACAUUUUGGUUUAAUUAUAGUAGUGUGUCUGGAAGCUUGUUGCUUAAGCUCUAUUAUGGACUUGAAGAAAAUGACACCAACUUGCAUGAUAGUGGAUGACAGUGAAGGACCAGUAUGAAACCUAUCUAAAUGCACACCUCUAAAAAUAAUAGUCCCAUAUAUUGUGGGGAUAUUUUUAUUUUGACUUUAUAAACGCACACCCACUGCAAAUGCAUAUUGUUUCUUGGUCCCAAGGCUGUGCAUUUAGACAGGUUUCCCUGUAUGUUUGUGAAUGUGAGAGGUUUGGAAAUGAGGGCUCGCUAGCUUGAGGGGUAGAGUUAAGUCAUGUCUAACCAGUAACCAAUUUUCAGACACAGGAGAGACUUUUCAGUGUCAGGCUGGGCUGGGCCAUGUGAUAAUUUCACAUGGACCUAAUGAAUUGCCAUGGGCUGGGGCUGGGCCAUGUGAUACAUUGCAUUAGUUGUGACGCUGAAUAGUUCCUUAAAUUCUAAAUGUUUCCGUGAUGAAUCUAACUUCAGCAGUUCAGCCAAUGGAGACUUGAAAGCUAAUUCUGAUAGGGGAGUUUAUGGUAGGCUGGAUGGGAACAAUAGACUGGCUAAAAGAAUUAGUUAAAUACCAAAAUCAUGUGGUUAAUUUCUUGGAGUGCAACAAAACCCUGCAUCUAGGUUGACGGCCUGUAAGCCCAUAUUUUAGGUCUGUGUUGUGGGCCCAAUAAGUAACACUUUGCGAACUACCACAUGCAUUGUGGUUGUGAUUUGUGAAGUGUGAGUGUGUGUGUGAGUUGAGUGAGUGAAGGCUGAUUGAGGUUUUUUGUUUUUAGCUAAAGAGGCUGAUUGAGUUUGAGUGUCAUGCAUUAGUGCAUAAUAUAGAUAAGAGCUUGUUGACAAAGUUGGAAUCUUGGAGAAGGCAAUAACUACCAAGUGAAGUGACCAUCUUUUGUGGAUCUUUCUGACUAAAAUUGAACAAGUUUAUGUCUUGUUGAUGAAGACAACACUCACAUAGACUUAGUAUAACACUUCAGGCAUAAUCGAUAUUGAAUUAUUUGCUCAUUAAAACAAAUAAAAAAUGACUUAGAUCUCCUCUUGUAAGUGUCGUGUCUAUACGUCAUAGUUACCCUUUUCUGGACUAACUUCUUGUUUCUCAUUUUCACCUGAUUUUUACUCUUCAACGACAAGAAAAGACUACUAACUACUUGAUCACUUUCCAUCAUUUUUCUUUUCUUUUCUUGAUCUUCAUCAAAACUAGUCUUAAAUUUUGAAUUAUCUUACAGAAAGCAACCUCUGAGACUAGAGAGUGUACACAGUAUUAAUCACAGAGUUAUUAAUCAAAUAAUCAAUUUGAACUUAUGUUUAGAUGUAGAGGACUUUGGUUGUGAAGUGUGGACAACAAAAUUUUCUUGGAAAUUCUAUAUAGAUCCAUAUUGUGAAUUUGACGUUUCGCCUUAAACAAAUCAGUAGAUAUGAUUUUGAAUUAUAUGAUAGGUAUAAGUAGAUAUAGACAAAAUUUUACUUGUACGGGGUUUCAUUAUUUUGACUGUUCACUUCGAGUAAAGUGGAAGAAGUAUGUCUUGUUGGAUAAUUCAAAAGUUCCAUAGACUUAGUACAAGGCCAUGGGCAAAAUCAAGGUCGAAGUAUGGAUUACCCUCAUAUUAGAAAACAAGGAAUGACUUGGAUUUCCUCAUUGCUUUGAAAGUGUAAGUGUUAGUACGACAAGAACAUACAAUUUUGCUCCCAAGAAUAAACGUUUGUUGCAUUAUAUUCCUAACCAGUAUAUGAGUGAUAGUUCAAGUGUCAUAUGAAGUGCAUUAUGUAGACAAGAUAUGUGAAGACAAAGGUGUACUUAGACUUAUAUGUUAUGUUGAUGAAAACUAUAUUGAUAUAGACUUAGGACUAAACUUUAGGUGUAAUCGAUGUUGAAGUAUGGUGUUAUAUAUACACAUUGUGAAAACAAGGGAAUAACUUCUAGUUUUCUCAUGCAAUUGUUGGCACGACAUUGCUACCCUUUUCUUGCCUAGAUUUAAAAGCUAUACAUGUAUAUAAUAUAACUUUAGAUAUUAAUUCUGGAUUCUUCACUAGUUUUCACUUUUGAGGAAAAUAUAAUAAAAUAUAUACUCCUGUGUCAUACAGUAUAUGGGCACAUAUAGGUGUUUUUGUGUAAAGUACUAGAUAUAUAAGUAGUUAGGAAACACAGUCAAAAAAGUUAACUGUUCACUUCAACUGGUACUGAAGAAAUUUGUCGGUUUGAUUAAGACAAUAUUUUCAAAGACUUUAGUAAACAGCACAAUCAAGGUUCAAAUAUGUAUUAUAUAGUCUUGGAAAGCAAGACUAACAUAAUUUCUGUAUUUUAAGUUUAGAUAUUCUUGAUUCUUCACUAGUUUUUCACUUUUCAGGAAAAACAAUAAAAUAGAAAACCCUGUGUCAUAUGACACAAUCAAUUAGAUAUGAAUCACAUAGUUGUUAUCGUGUUUAGUUAGAAAACGCAGUCGACCACGUUAUGUACAUUGAUACAGGGUCUUUUGACUGUUCACUUCCGCUAGUGCUGAAGAAAUUUGUCUUGUUUAUCAAAACAAUAUUUCAGACUUAGUAGAACAACAUAGCUGCAUAGGCACAAUCAAAAUUCAAAUAUGUUUUAUAUAUAUUAUUGGGAACAAGACUAACUUGAUGUCCUUUUUAGCUCUUUGCUUAGAAAUUGAGAGUUGGUAGGUUCACAAAUAUUCUUGCAGACAUGGUAGAACACUAAUAUUUUCAUAGACAUGCAUAUGUAGCAAUUACUCGAAAACUCAUCUUAAGUUCUUUAUCCAACGUGAUUACAUGUAGAUUGGAGUGUACUUACUGUUCUUGUGGUGGAUCCUUUACAGAAUACAAGGUUAGUAGGCUUUGGAUUUUCUACUUACAUGGUGUAAUAGACAAAAUGUAGCCAAUCAUAUUUGGUUAGAUAUCAAAUAUAACAUACAGUACAUGCUCUGGUGAGGGUGAUUGUGGCUGGAGAUUUGGACAAUGAGUAAUUCUUGGAGUCUAUGCAUAAAUAUAAAUCUUAGUUUUUAAAUAGCAAGUCAUAAACUAUAGAUUAUUAUUUAUAUUUUAAUGUUUAUAAUCAAUUAAGUUGAUUGAUCUCCACAUUAAUAGAAUUCAAACUUUGUAUCAGUGAAACAAGAAGUGUGAAGACAAACCUGUAUGUACUUAAUAGUAUCGAUGGCAUGCAUUCUUGUCCUUAACUAUAUAUUAUUUGACUGUUCUCUUGGACUAAAACAACUGAAGGAUAUAUUCUUGUCGAUUAAAGCUAAGACACUAUUUUCAUAUAUAAUUUCCUCUGCUUAGAAAUGGGAAGUGUUGCACUUUUGUCAAAUUAUUCCUUAUUGGUACUUAUUUCAUUGUCCUACUACAUAUGUACAUUAUAAUAUGUUUGUCUUGUUAAUGCCAAUAUUCUUAGUCUUCAUAGAGCACUAUAGGCAUAAACAAUGCUAUAGCAUGUGUUACACUCAUUGGAAAAACAAGGAAUAUACCGUUUUUUGUAUAUAUGAUUGAUAGUGUUUAUACGACCAAAGUUCACUCUAUGCCCAUGUUCUCAUUUAGUAUGGAAGUGUGCUGUAUCAUAUGGACCUUAAAAUAUCAUGUUUUUUUAUAAGAUGAGUUGGUUAAGACAGGAAGUGUGUAAGGUUUUAGUUUGUCUGAAAAGGCUGUGCUUAUGUAGACUAAUAGAUACCACACACGAGGCUAGUGAGCCAUGGUAAGUCCUCUCCUCUUCAGCAAACCGAGUUAUCCUAAGAAGGUAUGCCAGCAUUCAUCUUGAAGCAAUGUUUUUAGGCGGGAGAGAUUAUUUGAGAAUCAGUAAUAUGAAGACAAGGUUGCAACUUUGCGUACAGCACUUAGGCAGUCUGAAUUGUGUGUAGUAAUAACAUUGUAAACAAUAAGCAGCUUUAUUGUUUCUUAAGGAUAUGCAGAAGCUAUGGAGAAGGCAUUAGAGAAAAGGUGGGAUGUGCUAUGGAUUGAAACUGAUUCAGAAGCAGCAGCAAAAGCAGUCACUGGAAGUUCAGAAGUAAAUGUGACCAGUUAAAAAUGCAGUUCAAAUGGCUUCUGGUCACAUGUACAAAAAGGGAAGCAAACUUAGCAGCAGACUGUUGUGCUGGAAAGGGAGUCCACUUAGAUAGAAACUGUAAAAUCUGGUUUGGCUCAGACAAUCUUCCUAGUGUGCCAUUAGAGAGUCCAUACUCAGUGUAUUACAGAUAUUUUUUUUUGCCAGUGUAUUACAGAUUUUGUUUAUGUAACUGGUGCUUGCAUCUUUGUUUUUUUUUUUUUUUGAUUGGCAAGCAGGGUUGAGGGGACCCUUACCCCUUUUAAAUUACGUGUGGAAACUUCUAUCAACAAUCAGCUGUUGACGUGUUUUGAACCCACAACCUCUCCACUUUCUGAUAGGGGUGUUUGUAUCUUUCUUCCUUUUUUUUUUUUUUUUUUUUUU
RNAcentral lists this long non-coding RNA (22583 nucleotides) under Aquilegia coerulea. RNAcentral's name for it is "long non-coding RNA (ACOE_LNC001210)". The record is from RNAcentral. Lineage: Eukaryota; Viridiplantae; Streptophyta; Magnoliopsida; Ranunculales; Ranunculaceae.